This 23849-nucleotide long non-coding RNA is filed under the name Triticum aestivum (bread wheat). RNAcentral's name for it is "long non-coding RNA (TAES_LNC023703)". Lineage: Eukaryota; Viridiplantae; Streptophyta; Magnoliopsida; Poales; Poaceae. The record is from RNAcentral.
UCCUGGAGCAGUGGUACCCGAAGGCCAGCGCCGAGGAGCACCGGCGGAUCGUGGAGGGGGACAUCAACGAGAUGAAGGGCGCGGUGCUGGAGCCGGACGACAUCGCGAGGGCGGCGCUGUACCUGGCGUCCGACGAGGCCAAGUAUGUCAACGGCCACAACCUCGUCGUGGACGGCGGGUUCACGGUGGGGAAGGCGCCCAACAUGCCGGCACCGGCGCUGUAAAACGAAGCGAGUUCCUGAAAUAAAUUUGCUUCCUACAGUACUAUAUACAUACUACUAGUACGUAGUAUUGUAUUGCGCCGGAAGUAGAAUCACCGAGCAUUACGUUUUUGUUUCAGGAUUGAAACAACGAAUUGUCCUCGAUGCCGAGUAGUACAUGCACACGUUGACCCCAUGCGGAAAUACUCCCUAGAUGAGAGCAGCCCGAUUGUUCUUGUUAUCUUUGUGGCUACUCACUGUCGUGCAAUUCUGUGCCUCUAUGCGCCUGUGUUGCUUGCACGUAAUUCCCAUCGUGGCUGAUGUAGCCCCAUGGAGCUAGGCUCCCACUCUUUUAACUCCUUCGGUUAACUUGUAUGACAUCAUACUGUUUUUUUACGGCUAUAAAAUGACUGUGUUCAUCAUACGAUACAGAGGUCGGGGGUCCACCCUCCUUUUCGGAAAAAUUAGGUUGUUCGCUCUAUAAUGCUUGCUAGAAAUAAUUGUGUAGGUUUAACAUAACCAGGAUCUUAAUAAUCUCCUAGUUGAAACAUCUACGGAAGAUUAGAGACAAAUCAUAUUUAGCAUAGGGAAAAACCCAUGGCAUGGACCUUGGGUCUCUGUCAGUGAGUUGAUCGGAUAGACAUGUAUGACGUCACUGGCACCGACCUGAAGGUUCCCGUAGUGGUGAGCAGUCUUAUGUUUUCUUCGGAGCGUUCUUUAGGAUCCGUGGUUUGGAGAUAGGGUUCUACUCAUUUGUGUAUACAUGUUCCAAGGGGGCACAACNNNNNNNNNNNNNNNNNNNNNNNNNNNNNNNNNNNNNNNNNNNNNNNNNNNNNNNNNNNNNNNNNNNNNNNNNNNNNNNNNNNNNNNNNNNNNNNNNNNNNNNNNNNNNNNNNNNNNNNNNNNNNNNNNNNNNNNNNNNNNNNNNNNNNNNNNNNNNNNNNNNNNNNNNNNNNNNNNNNNNNNNNNNNNNNNNNNNNNNNNNNNNNNNNNNNNNNNNNNNNNNNNNNNNNNNNNNNNNNNNNNNNNNNNNNNNNNNNNNNNNNNNNNNNNNNNNNNNNNNNNNNNNNNNNNNNNNNNNNNNNNNNNNNNNNNNNNNNNNNNNNNNNNNNNNNNNNNNNNNNNNNNNNNCAAGGACCGAAACCAAAAUUGUUCAUUAUCACCUCCGAUCACGAUGCAUCCAUAUGUGGGGUGGGGCGAGCCACAUCCUUUACUUUUGCUCUCGGUUGUUUGCCAAGAUCAAACCCCAACAGUUUCCCCAUUCUUGUUUGUAAGAUUAGCAAACAUCAUAAGCCCACUCCGGUAGAAACACACACCAAAGAGUAGUGUUACAAUAACCAAUGAAAUUCCAUUGAACCUAUGUACUUAUAGUACACCAUACCAUCUUGGAAUAUUAAACAUAGUGUGUUUGAUUCUAACGUAAUCAUAGAAGAAUGAGUGGUAAACCAUUAGCAGAACCUCAAAACUUUAUUAAAAGGGCAUCGUAUAUUUGACUCUAAAAUCUAUCUUUCACAACAAGAAACAUAAUCUCAAUGAUUAUUCGCAAUCCAAAUUGACUUGUUGUUACGUGCAUAGAGAACAUCGAAGGACGCCUAAAGCCCUAAAUGGGCAGUGUUGAUGACGUGUGAUUUAUUGUGACUAACUUUUAAUCGAGUGAUCUGCAUACACAUAGUCCAAAAAAUAAAAAUGUGUAGAUGCGAGCCCCUCCCCCAACCCCACAUCAAAAACGAAAAAGGUGUCGAUGCAUUUUAUGUUUCUGGAGUUUUUUCUUAUUUGAGUAAUUUGAAAUCCACACUAUAAAGAGGGGGUUGUGGUGCUUCAAGUUGGUGGGUCAUGAACAACAUAUACAUGUCGUAUCCAUCACAAGCAGUCAAGCGAUAGCCUAGCAACAUGAAAAAACAAGUGAUUUUCCCUUUGGGCAGGUCGAGGCAAAACCCAUAACUCCGGGUCUGAUCUCCGGGUUAUGUGGUUUCACUCCUUGAUGUCCAGGAGUUGAAAUCCGAAAAUCCGGAUUUGAUCUUUGAGUUCAGUAGUUUAGCCUCUAGACGGUCGGGAUCUUCAAAUUAUGUAGCUAGAACUCCAGGUUUGCCUAUUUCCGUGAGGAAUUCAUCAUGAUCUGCCUUCUAGAUUGGAUGAGCUGCCAAACAAGAUUAUGAUCAUCCAUGUAAUUCUUAUGGUGGAUCUUUUGUUUAUAAGUUGAUUAAUUCCAUAGGUUAUUGUUAUAUUUUUUGCGAGAUUGAUUGUAGAUACAUGUUGGGUCUCCUUUCUAAUAGUCCGCUCCUGGCUAGUUUAGAUGUGGGAGUGAUAGAGGGAACAAUGUGGAUUGAGUGGAAAAGAUCAAAGUAUGGGAACUAUGCCGGAUGACAACUAGAUUUGUCUCUCUUUUCUUAAUCUUGAACCGUGUUUCAAAUUUAUGAUUGAAAUUUUAUGAGAUUGUAGAUACAAUUUUUGUCUAUGUACUCAAAUGUUUCAAAAAAAAUUGAAGCCCUUUUAGUGGCGUUACCGCAAGCAUGAUAGUUCCAAAGGGAUGGUACGACUAGAUUAGUUUAUUUUACAUUUGCAUGCAUUAGUGAGGAGGCAAGUAAAACAUGGCAAGUGAUGACCAACACCCGGCCAUUCGCCAAGGAUUUCGCUACAAAUUGACCGUUAGAGUUUUUAGCAUGGCAAACUGAACGUUUUUCAUGGCAAAUUAUGUUGUCGCGAGGAUGACAAUGUCCUCUGACAAGCAUGGCAAAUCCUUGUCUUGUUCAGUUUUUACCACGAUGUGUCAUGGUUGCUAAAAAAAUUGUCAUCCUCGCAUCAACAUAAUUUGCCAUAAAAAUGUUUGGUUUGCCAUGCUUAAAAAUCUGACACCAGAUGGUUAACAUUUCCGUUCGCAAAUAUCUCAAUACAUUACUGGUUUCCUUUUUUUGAAGCUUUUGAUAUUUAUUCACUUUACAUUGCACAAUUAAUGUCAAACUAUCAUGCAAGAGUUUGAUGAAUAAAUCAAAGGUUUUCUAAAAAAUAGAUUCCCUCAUUUUACAUUUUUUUGAGUGACCCCUCGUUUUACAUCUGCAUGCAUUAGUGAGGGGUUUUGCUACACCUGUUUAUUACACGCUGAAGAGUGUUACGUAAAGACUUGAUAGUUUUUAACAGGAUAUUAGUGGAGGUGUCCUACCUCUUGAGCAUGCGUUGGUUUUCUCUUGAAGAGGAAAGGGUGAUGCAGCAAAGUGGCGUAAGUAUUUCUCUCAGUUUUUGAGAACCAAGGUAUCAAUCUAGUAGGAGACUACACGCAAAUCCCUAGUACCUGCACAAACAAAUAAGAACCUUGCAACCAACACGAUAAAGGGGUUGUCAAUCCCUUCACGACCACUUGCAAAAGUGAGAUCUGAUAAAGAUAAUAAGAUAAAUAUUUUGGUAUUUUUGUUGUAUAUAUUGAAAAGUAAAGAUUGCAAAAUAAACGGCGACAGAAAUAGCACGUUGGUGGGAGAUUAAUAUGAUGGAAAAUAGACCCAGGGGCCAUAGGUUUCACUAGUGGCUUCUCUCAAGAUAGUAAAUUCUACGGUGGGUGAACAAAUUACUGUCGAGCAAUUGAUAGAAAAGCGCAUAGUUAUGAGAAUAUCUAGGCAUGAUCAUGUAUAUAGGCAUCACGUCCGUGACAAGUAGACCGAAACGAUUCUGCAUCUACUACUAUUACUCCACACAUCGACCGCUAUCCAGCAUGCAUCUAGAGUAUUAAGUUCAUAAGGACAGAGUAACGCAUUAGGCAAGAUGAUAUGAUGUAGAGGGAUAAACUCAAGCAUUAUGAUAUAAACCCCAUCUUUUUAUCCUCGGUGGCAACAAUACAAUACGUGCCUUGCUGCCCCUGCUGUCACUGGGAAAGGACACCGCAAGAUUGAACCCAAAGCUAAGCACUUCUCCCAUUGCAAAAAAGAUCAAUCUAGUAGGCCAAACCAAACUGAUAAUUCGAAGAGACUUGCAAAGAUAUCAAAUCAUGCAUAUAAGAAUUUAGAGAAGAAUCAAAUAUUGUUCAUAAAUAAUCUUGAUCAUAAACCCACAAUUCCUCGGAUCUCGACAAACACACCGCAAAAAGAGUUACAUCGAAUAGAUCUCCAAGAGAAUCGAGGAGAACUUUGUAUUGAGAUCCAAAGAGAGAGAAGAAGCCAUCUAGCUAAUAACUAUGGACCCGAAGGUCUGUGGUAAACUACUCACACAUCAUCGGAGAGGCCAUGGUGUUGAUGUAGAGGCCCUCCGUGAUCGAUUCCCCCUCCGGCGGAGCGCCAGAAAAGGCCCCAAGAUGGGAUCUCACGGGUACAGAAGGUUGCGGCGGUGGAAAAAGUGUUUCGUGGCUCCCCUGGAUGUUUUCAGGGUAUAAGAGUAUAUAUAGGCGAAGGAAGUAGGUCGGUGGAGCUACGAGGAGCCCACGAGGGUGGGGGCGCGCCCUCCUACCUCGUGGCCGCCUCGUGGCUUCCUUGAAGUCCACUCCAAGUCUCCUGGAUUGCGUUUGUUCCAAAAACAAUCCUCGCGAAGGUUUCAUUCCGUUUGAUAUUCCUUUUCUGCGAAACACUGAAAUAGGCAAAAAAAAUAGCAAUUUGCACUGGGCUUUCGGUUAAUAGGUUAGUCCCAAAAAUAAUAUAAAAAGGUACAGUAAAUCCCAUUAAACAUCCAAAACGGAUAAUAUAAUAGCAUGGAACAAUCAAAAAUUAUAGAUACGUUGGAGACGUAUCAAGCAUCCCCAAGCUUAAUUUCUGCUCGUCCUCGAGUAGGUAAAUGAUAAAAACAGAAUUUUUGAUGUGGAAUGCUACCUAACAUAAUUUUCAAUGUAAUUCUCUCUAUUGUGGCAUGAAUGUUCAGAUCCAAAAGAUUCAAGAUAAAAGUUUAAUAUUGACAUAAAAAUAGUAAUACUUCAAGCAUACUAAUCAAGCAAUUAUGUCUUAUCAAAAUAACAUAGCCAAAAAAAGCUUAUCCCUACAAAAUCAUAUAGUUUGGCCAUGCUUCAUUUUCGUCACACAAAAUGCUCCCAUCAUGCAUAACCCCGAUGACAAGCCGAGCAACUGGUUCAUACUUUUUAACGCGCUUCAGACUUUUCAACUCUUACGCAAUACAUGAGCGCAAGCCAUUGAUAUAGCACUAUAGGUGGAAUAGAGUAUGAUGAUGGGGGUUAUGUGAGAAGACAAAAAAGGAGAAAGCCUCACAUUGACGCGGCUAAUUAACGGGCUAUGGAGAUGCCCAUAAAUUGAUUCCCAUGCAAGGAGUAGGGAUUGCCAUGCAACGGAUGCACUAGAGCUAUAAGUAUAUGAAAGCUCAUCAAAAGAAACUAAGUGGGUGUGCAUCCAACUUGCUUGCUCACGAAGACCUAGGGCAAGCCCAUCAUUGGAAUAUACAAGCCAAGUUCUAUAAUGAAAAAUUCCCACUAGUAUAUGGAAGUGACAAAAUAAGAAACUCUCUAUCAUGAAGAUCAUGGUGCUAUUUUUAAGCACAAGUGUGGAAAAAGGAUAGUAACAUUGUCCCUUCUCUCUUUUUCUCUCACAUUUUUUUUGUUUGGGCUUCUUUGGCCUCUUUUUUUAUUUGGGCUUCUUUGGCCUCUCUUUUUUUCAUCAUUCUUUCCUCACAUGGGACAAUGCUCUAAUGAUGAUCAUCACACUUUUAUUUACUCAUAACUCAAUGUUACAACUCGAUACUAGAACAAAAAAAUGACUAUGUGAAUGCCUCCGGCGGUGUACCGGGAUAUGCGAUGAAUCAAGAGCGACAUGUAUGGAAGAAUUAUGAAAGUGGCUUUGCCACAAAUAUGAUGUCAACUACAUGAUCAUGCAAAGCAAUAUGACAAUGAUGGAGCGUGUCAUAAUAAACGGAACGGUGGAAAGUUGCAUGGCAAUAUAUCUCGGAAUGGCUAUGGAAAUGCCAUAAUAGGUAGGUAUGGUGGCUGUUUUGAUGAAGAUAUAAGGAGGCUUAUGUGUGAUAGAGCGUAUCAUAUCACGGGGUUUGGAUGCACCAGCGAAGUUUGCACCAACUCUCAAGCUGAGAAAGGGCAAUGCACGGUACCGUAGAGGCUAGCAAUGAUGGAAGGGUGAGAGUGCGUAUAAUCCAUGGACUCACAUUAGUCAUAAAGAACUCAUAUACUUAUUGCAAAAGUUUAUUAGCCCUCGAAGCAAAGUACUACUACGCAUGCCCCUAGAGGGAUAGAUUGGUAGGAAAAGACCAUCGCUCGUCCCCGACCGCCACUCAUAAGGAAAGCACUCAAAGAACACCCCAUGCUUCAAAUUUUUCACACAACGUUUACCAUACAUGCAUGCUACGGGACUUGCCAACUUUAACACAAGUAUUUCUCAAUUUCACAAUUACCCAACUAGCAUGACUCUAACAUUACCACCUUUAUAUCUCAAAACCAUUAUCAAACAUCAAAUUUAUCAUAGUGUUUAAUGCAUUCUAUAUGAAAGUUUUUAUUAUACCUAUCUUGGAUGCCUAUCAUAUUAGGACUAAUUUUAUAGCCAAAGCAAAUUACCAUGCUGUUCUAAAGGACUCCCAAAAUAAUACAAGUGAAGCAUGAGAGAUCAAUAAUUUCUACAAAAUAAAACCACCACCGUCUAAAAAGGUAUAAGUGAAGCACUAGAGAAAAUUAUCUAGCUCAAAAGAUAUAAGUGAACCACAAAGAAUAUUCUAAUAAAUUCCGAUUCAUGUGUGUCUCUCCCAAAAGGUGUGUACAGCAAGGAUGAUUGUGAUAAACUAAAAAGCAAAGACUCAAAUCAUACAAGACGCUCCAAGCAAAACACAUAUCAUGUGGUGAAUAAAAAUAUAGCAUCGAGUAAAGUUACCGAUAGACGAAGACGAAAGAGGGGAUGCCUUCCGGGGCAUCCCCAAGCUUAGGCUUUUGGUUGUCCUUGAAUGUUACCUUGGGGUUCCUUGGGCAUUCCCAAGCUUAGGCUCUUGCCACUCCUUGUUCAGAAAUCCAUCAAAUCUUUACCCAAAAACUUGAAAACUUCACAACACAAAACUCAACAGAAAAUCUCAUGAGCUCCGUUAGCGAAAUAAAACAAACCACCACUUUAAGGUACUGUAAUGAACUCAUUAUCUAUUUAUAUUGGUGUUAGACCUACUGUAUUCCAACUUCUCUAUGGUUCAUACCCCCCGAUACUAGCCAUAGAAUUAUCAUAAGCAAACAACACACGAAAAACAGAAUCUGUCAAAAACAGAACAAUCUGUAGUAAUCUCUAUCAAACGCAAACUUCUAUAACUCAGAAAAAUCUGCCAAAAUAGGACGACCCAGAUAAUUUGAUUAUUGAUCUACUGCAAUUGGAAUAAAUAUUUUAUAACUCUCUGGUGAUUUUUAACAAUUGUUUUCGUGAGCAGAAAGUUUCUGUCUUUUUCAGCGAGAUCGAAUAAUUAUCACCCAAGAAGAUCCUAUAGGUUCUACUUGUCACAAACACUAAUUAAAACAUAAAAACACAUCUAACCAGAGGCUAGAUGAAAUAUUUAUUACUAAACAGGAACAAAAAGUAAGGAAUAAAAAUAAAAUAGGGUUGCCUCCCAACAAGCGCUAUCGUUUAACGCCCCUAGCUAGGCAUAAAAACAAGAAUAGAUCUAGGUAUUGUCAUCUUUGGUAUGCAAUCCAUAAGUGGCUCUCAUAAUAGAUUCGUAAGGCAAUUUAAUUUUCUUCCUAGAAAGUGUUCCAUGCCUUUCCUUAAUGGAAAUUGGAAUCUAAUAUUUCCUUCUUUCAUAUCAAUAAUUACACCAAUCGUUCUAAGGAAAGGUCUACCAAGAAUAAUAGGACAUGUAGGAUUGCAAUCUAUAUCAAGAACAAUAAAAUCUACGGGCACAUAAUUCCUAUUUGCAACAAUAAGAACAUCAUUAAUCCUUCCCAUAGGUUUCUUAAUGGUGGAAUCCGCAAGGUGCAAAUUUAAAGAACAAUCAUCAAAUUCACGGAAACCUAACACAUCACACAAAGUUUUAGGAAUCGUGGAAGCACUAGCACCCAAAUCACACAAAGCAUAGCAUUCAUGAUCUUUAACCUUAAUUUAAAUAGUAGGAUCCCACUCAUCAUAAAGUUUUCUAGGGAUAGAAACUUCUAAUUCAAGUUUUUCUUCAUAGGAUUGCAUUAAAGCAUCAACGAUGUGUUUGGUAAAAGCUUUAUUUUGAUUAUAAGCUUGAGGAGAAUUUAACACGGAUUGCAAAAAGGAAAUACAAUCUAUCAAAGAACAAUUAUCAUAGUUAAAUUCCUUGAAAUCCAAAAUAGUGGGUUUAUUGCUAUGUAAAGUUUUGACCUCUUCAAUCCCACUUUUACCAAUUUUUGCAUCAAGAUCUAAAAACUCCGAAUCAUUGGGACGCCUUUUAACUAAAGUUGACUCAUCUCCAGUCCCAUCAUUAUCAAGAUUCGUACUAGAAAACAAAGAUUUAAUAGGAGACACAUCAAUAACUUUUUGAUCUUCAUCAUUGUUAUCAUGAAAACUGGAAGAACACGCUUUCGCAAAGCAAUCUUUUUUAGCACGCAUCCCAGCGGUUCUUUCUUUGCACUCAUCAAUGGAAAUUCUCAUGGCUUUGAGAGACUCAUUGAUAUCAUGCUUGGGUGGAACAGAUCUAAGUUUCAAAGAAUCAACAUCAAGAGAAAUUCUAUCCAUGUUCCUAGCCAACUCAUCAAUCUUAGGCAAUUUUUCUUCAAGCAAAGCAUUGAAAUUCUUUUGCGAAUUCGUAAAUUCUUUAACACUAGUCUCAAAAUCAGAGGGCAUCUUAUUAAAAAUUUCCAUAAGAGUUGUUGUAGGAAUUACCAUAAUUAUUAGAGGAAUUACUAGGGAACGACCUAGAAUUAAAGUUUCCUCUAUAUGCGUUGUUACCAAAAUUGUUCCUACCAACAAAAUUCACAUCCAUAGAUUCAUUAUUAUUCUCAAUCAAAGUGGACAAAGGCAUAUCAUUAGGAUCAGAAGAAACACUCUUAUUAGCAAACAAUUUCAUAAGUUCAUCCAUCUUUCCACUCAAAACAUUAAUCUCUUCAAUUGCAUGAACCUUUUUACUAGUAGAUCUUUCGGUGUGCCAUUGAGAAUAAUUAACCAUGAUAUUAUCUAGUAGUUUAGUAGCUUCUCCUAAAGUGAUUUCCAUAAAAGUGCCUCCCGCGGCCGAAUCUAAAAGAUUUCUAGAAGCAAAAUUCAAUCCAGCAUAAUUUUUUUUAUAAUCAUCCAUAAAUUCAAACCAUGUGUAGGGCAAUUACGUAUCAUUAAUUUCAUCCUCUCCCAAGCUUGUGCAACAUGCUCAUGAUCAAGUUGCUUAAAAUUCAUAAUAUCGUUUCUAAGAGAGAUGAUCUUAGCGGGAGGAAAAUACUUAGAGAUAAAAGUAUCUUUGCACUUAUUCCAUGAAUUAAUACUAUUUUUAGGCAAAGAAGAGAACCAAGUUUUAGCACGAUCUCUAAGCGAAAAAGGAAAUAGCUUCAAUUUGAAAAUAUCAUUAUCCACAUAUUUCUUCUUUCGCAUAUCGCACAAAUCAACAAAGUUGUUUAGAUGGGUAGCGGCAUCUUCACUAGGAAGGCCAGAAAAUUGAUCUUUCAUGACAAGAUUCAACAAAGCAGCAUUAAUUUCUCAAGAUUCAGCAUCGGUAAUAGGAGAAAUCGGAGUGCUAAUAAAAUCAUUGUUGUUGGUAUUAGAAAAGUCACACAAUUUAGUAUUGUCUUGCGCCAUCGUGACAAACAAUCAAUCCAACACAUAAGCAAGCAAAAAGAAGCGAACGGAAAAGGGCGAAUAAAACGGCAAGGGUGAAGUGGGGGAGAGGAAAACAAGAGGCAAAUGGCAAAUAAUGUAAUGCGAGGGAUAAGAGUUUGUGAUGGGUACUUGGUAUGUCUUGACUUGUGCGUAGAUCUCCCCAUGGCGCCAGAAAUCCUUCUUGCUACCUCUUGAGCAUGCGUUGGUUUUCCCUUGAAGAGGAAAGGGUGAUGCAGCAAAGUAGCGUAAGUAUUUCCCUCAGUUUUUGAGAACCAAGGUAUCAAUCCAGUAGGAGACUACACGCAAAUCCCUAGUACCUGCACAAACAAAUAAGAACCUUACAACCAACGCGAUAAAGGGGUUGUCAAUCCCUUCACGGUCACUUGCAAAAGUGAGAUCUGAUAAAGAUAAUAAGAUAAAUAUUUUUGGUAUUUUUUUGUAUAGAUUGAAAAGUAAAGAUUGCAAAAUAAACGACGACAGAAAUAGCACGUUGGUGGGAGAUUAAUAUGAUGGAAAAUAGACCCGGGGGCCAUAGGUUUCACUAGUGGCUUCUCUCAAGAUAGUAAAUUCUACGGUGGGUGAACAAAUUACUGUCGAGCAAUUGAUAGAAAAGCACAUAGUGCUACCUCUUGAGCAUGCGUUGGUUUUCCCUUGAAGAGGAAAGGGUGAUGCAGAAAAGUAGCGUAAGUAUUUCCCUCAGUUUUUUGAGAACCAAGGUAUCAAUCCAGUAGGAGGCCACACGCAAGUCCCUUGUACCUACACAAAAAAAUAAGAACCUUGCAACCAACGCGAUAAAGGGGUUGUCAAUCCCUUCACUGCCACUUGCAAAAGUGAGAUCUGAUAGAGAUGAUAAGAUAAUAUUUUUGGUAUUUUUAUGAUAAAGAUUAAAAGUAAAGAUUGCAAAGUAAAAAUAGAUUGGAAACUUAUAUGAUGGAAAAUAGACCCGGGGGCCAUAGGUUUCACUAGUGGCUUCUCUCAAGAUAGCAUAAGUAUUACGGUGGGUGAACAAAUUACUGUCCAGCAAUUGAUAGAAAAGUGCAUAAUUAUGAGAAUAUCUAGGCAUGAUCAUGUAUAUAGGCAUCACGUCCGCAACAAGUAGACCGACUCCUGCCUGCAUCUACUUCCAUUACUCCACACAUCGACCGCUAUCCAGCAUGCAUCUAGAGUAUUAAGUUCAUAAGAACAGAGUAACACAUUAGGCAAGAUGACAUGAUGUAGAGGGAUAAACUCAAGCAAUAUGAUAUAAACCCCAUCUUUUUAUCCUCGAUGGCAACAAUACAAUACGUGUCAUUUCCCCUUCUGUCACUAGGAUCGACCACCGCAUGAUUGAACCCAAAGCUAAGCACUUCUCCCAUUGCAAGGAAGAUCAAUCUAGUAGACCAAACCAAACUGAUAAUUCGAAGAGACUUCCAAAGAUAACCAAUCAUACAUAAAGAAUUCAGAGAAGAUUCAAAUAUUCUUCAUAGAUAAUCUUGAUCAUAAACCCACAAUUCAUCGGAUCUCGACAAACACACCGCAAAAAGAGUUACAUCGAAUAGAUCUCCAAGAAGAUAGAGGAGAACUUCGUAUUGAGAUCCAAAGAGAGAGAGAGAAGAAGCCAUCUAGCUAAUAACUAUGGACAUGAAGGUCUAUGGUAAACUACUCACACAUCAUCGGAGAGGCUAUGGUGUUGAUGUACAAGCCCUCCGUGAUCGAUGCUGUUGCGACCCGACCUCAAACGGUCAAGUCCCUGUGCUUCUGUGUCAUCCCUGGAUCGGUAAUGCUGACGCACACAGUACUCGAAGGAUUUAUAACAGAGUAGCAAUCACACACUUAUUACAUCGAAUGUCUCAAAAGAGAACUUAUUACAAUGAAUAUGGCUUAAGGCCAUCUAAUACGAUAACAGCGGAAGGCUUGGAAGAUAAAGUGAGUCCAUCAACUCCAACGGCAUAGCUGAGCUGCACGGCAACGACCUAACGAACCUUACUCCUCGUCUGAAAAGUCUGCAACAUAAUAUGUUGCAGCCCGAAAACGGGUCAGCACAUGGAAUAUGCUGGCAAUAUAACACAGUAGAGCAAGAACAGAAUAAUGCUAUCACUACAUGCAUAUUUGGCUGGUGGAAAGGCUCUAUGGUUAUAGUUUUGCGAAAAGCCAAUUUUUUCCUACAACAAAGGAAUAAAUUUUAUUUUAACUAUCAUGGUAGUUGAAACAUCAUUGAGAAGGUUCCUCCAACUCAAUCCCAAUUAAAAAGUAAUUAUCAACCCAACAUAUUAAAUUAGAGUGAUGAGAUACAUGUGAUAAUCCAAGUACUAGAUACUCAAGAUGUCCAUAACCGGGGACACGGCUAACCAUGAUUAGAUUGUACACUCUGCAGAGGUUUGCGCACUUUUCCCCACAAGACUCGAUCGCCUCCGUUGAAUUUCUCGCACUACAUGGUGUUUGAGAAACGGAUGACCGAGACACAGUCUUUCAGAAGCAUGAACUCUAACCCCAGGUAGACAAUACCAACCUACAUCCCUCUACAUCUGCUAGCCUACCACUGGAAGAGGUCAUGCAACUUACUCAACUAUGCUAGAGCCCAUAAUAGCUUGUGGCUGCACACGGAAGUUUUCUAGCAUGAAAUAUCUCAGUUCCCUUUGAGCCUGGGUGGCGGACCUUAGGAUUAUCACACGGGUACUCCGGGAUAUCCUAGGACAACAUUGGAUUCUCCAGGUGCCCGACAAGCAAUCCACCCAGAUGUGUAUUAAAGUUGCCACCUUAAGUUGAACCAUUAAUUAACAAUCUCACAUCUAUCAUGGAUUCACUCACCCAAACCACGUCUACGAGCAUAGCAUAGCAAUAUAAGCAACACGUAGAAGUAACUCCCAAGGGUUUGAUGCAAUAGGUUCUACCUCAUCAACUACUUCCCAAUACCCACAAGUUAAUCACAUCCUAAUCAUGGAGUGUUUGAGGAUUGGAGCUAAUGCAUAAAAACUGGGUAUGAAAAGAGUAUGAUCAAUGUGUUACUUGCCUUCCUGAUGAUCCGCAAAACCUAGAGACUCGUAGUAGCAUGCUUCGCACUCCGGGAAUUCUAUUGCAAACAAACAAUAGCAUACAUAAGCAAUCAAUCACAGAUGCACGGGUAAAACUCAAAUAAGAAGAAUUAACCAAAAAGUUCAACUUAAGAACUCCGGUUUGCAAAAAGAAUCAAAUCAAACGGAGCAACGAAACUCAAACUGCGAAAAAAAACAAGAUCCGAUUACUAAUCUGGACUAAAGUCAAAUUUUACAGUAUCAAAAUCUUGUUCAAGUUGACUAAACAGAAAGAGGGCUUCGAGACGAAGAUCUAGGCGCUUGAAUCGCCUGAUUCCGAUAAACGAGCGAAAAGAUAAACUAAAACGAAAAUCGGAUAAGAAAUCGCGAUUGAAAAUAAUUGCGAAAAACCCGAGAAAAAAAACUGACGAACAGGCUAACGAACGAACGUUCGUUGUCUGUGACUAACGGGCGAAAACCUUUCGUUAAAACGAACGUACGGAUGAACGUCCGCUAAAUAAACUAAACCGAGAAAACCAAUGAACCGAUCUAAAAAAACGUAACUAGGGUUUUUUUUAAAAAACCGACGGUUUUUACCUAAACCAAAAAAAACGGCGAGAUCAGAUCGGAUCGGCGGCGGCGACUCCGGCGGCUUCCGCGGCGGNNNNNNNNNNNNNNNNNNNNNNNNNNNNNNNNNNNNNNNNNNNNNNNNNNNNNNNNNNNNNNNNNNNNNNNNNNNNNNNNNNNNNNNNNNNNNNNNNNNNNNNNNNNNNNNNNNNNNNNNNNNNNNNNNNNNNNNNNNNNNNNNNNNNNNNNNNNNNNNNNNNNNNNNNNNNNNNNNNNNNNNNNNNNNNNNNNNNNNNNNNNNNNNNNNNNNNNNNNNNNNNNNNNNNNNNNNNNNNNNNNNNNNNNNNNNNNNNNNNNNNNNNNNNNNNNNNGGGCGGGGAGGCGGGGCCGACUCGGCCACGGCGAGUGGCGGCGUGGCGGUCGCGGUCUCCGCGAGGGAGACGGCGGCGCGGGGAAGGCUGGGCCAGCUGGGCCUCGGCCCAGUUCGGUCCGGCGGGCUUCUUUUUCUUUCUUUUAAACAGAUUCCGCCGAAAAGAAAUCCUAAUUCUUUUUGAAAAUACCAAAACAAAUUUUCACCGUCUAAAUGGAAUAUUUAGAACAAGGUGAACAUUUUUUUUGGCCUAAAAUGCAAUUUAAAAACAACAUAUUUUUCCUAUGCAAAUAAAAUAGCAAUAAAAUCCGAACAAAAACAAAUAUUUGAUUUUAAUAUUUUUCCUCCAAUAUUCCAUUUAUUUUGAAGUCAUAUUAUCUCCUCUCAUAUAUUUUAAUAUGAAAUAUUUUCGGAGAGAAAAAUAAUUAAAACAAAUAAUCCUCGUUUCAAUAUUUGAUAAAAUUCAAAUAUGAAGACAGGGAAAUCCCCAACUCUCUCCGACGGUCCUUGAGUUGCUUAGAAUUUCGAGGAUCGCGAAACAAAUAUGCAAUAAAAAUAUGAUAUGCAUGAAUGAUCUAUGUAUAACAUUCCAAAUUGAAAAUUUGGGAUGUUACAGAUGCCCCCUCCGGCGGAGCGCCGGAAAAGGCCCCAAGAUGGGAUCUCACGGGUACAGAAGGUUGCGGCGGUAGAAAUAGGGUUUCGUGGUGCUCCUGGAUUUUUUUGGGGUACGUAGGUAUAUAUAGGAGGAAGAAGUAGGUCGGCGGAGCCACGAGGGUGGGGGCGAGCCCAGGGGGGCAGGCGCGCCUCCCUGCCUCGUGGCCUCCUUGUUCGUUUCUUGACGUCCACUCCAAGUCCUCUGGAUCACGUUUGUUCAAAAAUAACUCUCCUGAAGGUUUCAUUCCGUCUGGACUCCGUUUGAUAUUGCUUUUCUGCGAAACACUGAAAUAGGCAAAAAAACAGCAAUUUGCAGUGGGCCUUGGGUUAGUAGGUUAGUCCCAAAAAUAAUAUAAAAGUGUAAAAUAAAGCCCAUUAAACAUCCAAAACAGAAUAUAUAAUAGCAUGGAACAAUAAAAAAUUAUAGAUACGUUGGAGACGUAUCAAGCAUCCCCAAGCUUAAUUCCUACUCGUCCUCGAGUAGGUAAAUGAUAAAAAACAAAAUUUUUGAUGUGGAAUGCUCCCUAGCAUAAUUCUCAAUGUAAUUUUCUUUAUUGUGGCAUGAAUGUUCAGAUCCGAAAGAUUCAAGAUAAAAGUUUAAUAUUGACAUAAAAAUAAUAAUACUUCAAGCAUACUAACAAAGCAAUCAUGUCUUCUCAAAAUAACAUGGCCAAAUAAAGUUAUCCCUACAAAAUCAUAUAGUUUGGCUAUGCUCUAUCUUCACCACACAAAAUAUUUAAAUCAUGCACAACCCCGAUGACAAGCCAAGCAAUUGUUUCAUACUUUUGAUGUUCUCAAACUUUUUCAAUUUUCACGCAAUACAUGAGCGUGAGCCAUGGACAUAGCACUAUAUGUGGAAUAGAACGGUGGUUGUGGAGAAGACAAAAAGGAGAAGAUAGUCUCACAUCGACUAGGCGUAUCAACGGGCUAUGGAGAUGCCCAUUAAUAGAUAUCAAUGUGAGUGAGUAGGGAUUGCCGUGCAACGGAUGCACUAGAGCUAUAAGUGUAUGAAAGCUCAACGAAAGAAACUAAGUGGGUGUGCAUCCAACUCGCUUGCUCACAAAGACCUAGGGAAUUUUGAGGAAGCCCAUCAUUGGAAUAUACAGGCCAAGUUCUAUAAUGUAAAAUUCCCACUAGUAUAUGAAAGUGACAACAUAGGAGAUUCUUUAUCAUGAAGAUCACGGUGCUACUUUGAAGCACAAGUGUGGUAAAAGGAUAGUACCAUUGUCCCUUCUCUCUUUUUCUCUCAUUUUUUUAUUUGGACCUUUUCUCCUUUUUAUGGCCUCUUUUUUUCUUUUCUUUUCUUUUUAUUUUUCAUCCAGAGUCUCAUCCCGACUUGUGGGGUAUCAUAGUCUCCAUCAUCCUUUCCUCACUUGGGACAAUGCUCUAAUAAUGAUGGUCAUCACACUUUUAUUUACUUACAACUCAAAAAUUACAACUCAAUACUUAGAACAAAAUAUGACUCUAUGUGAAUGCCUCCGGCGGUGUACCGGGAUAUGCAAUGAAUCAAGAGUGGCACGUAUGAAAGAAUUAUGAAUGGUGGCUUUGCCACAAAUACGAUGUCAACUACAUGAUCAUGCAAAGCAAUAUGGCAAUGAUGAAGCAUGUCAUAACAAACGGAACGGUGGUAGGUUGCAUGGCAAUAUAUCUCGGAAUGGCUAUGGAAAUGCCAUAAUAGGUAGGUAUGGUAGCUAUUUUGAGGAUGGUAUAUGAUGGGUGUAUGAUACCGGCGAAAGUUGCGCGGUAUUAGAGAGGCUAGCAAUGGUCGAAGGGUGAGUGUGCGUAUAAUCCAUGGACUCAACAUUAGUCAUAAAGAACUCACAUACUUAUUGCAAAAAUCUAUUAGUUAUCGAAACAAAGUACUACGCGCAUGCUCCUAGGGGGAUAGAUUGGUAGAAAAAGACCAUCACUUGUCCCCGACCGCCACUCAUAAGGAAGACAAUCAAUAAAUAAAUCAUGCUCCGACUUUAUCACAUAACGGUUCACCAUACGUGCAUGCUACGGGAAUCACAAACUUUAACACAAGUAUUUCUCAAAUUCACAACUACUCAACUAUCAUGACUUUAAUAUCAUCAUCUUAAUAUCUCAAAACAAUUAUCAAGUAUCAAACUUCUCAUAGUAUUCAAUGCACUUUAUAUGAUAGUUUUUAUUACACCUAUCUUGGAUGCUCAUUACUUUAGGACUAAAAUUUUAACCAAAGCAAAUUACCAUGCUGUUCUAAAAGACUCUCAAAAUAAUAUAAGUGAAGCAUGAGAGAUCAAUUAUUUCUAUAAAAUAAAACCACCGCCGUGCUCUAAAAGAUAUAAGUGAAGCACUAGAGCAAAAUUUUCUAGCUCAAAAGAUAUAAGUGAAGCACAUAGAGUAUUCUAACAAAUUCCGAUUAAUGUGUGUAUCUCCCAAAAGGUGUGUACAGCAAGGAUGAUUGUGGUAAACUAAAAAGCAAGACUCAAAUCAUACAAGACGCUCCAAGCAAAACACAUAUCAUGUGGUGAAUAAAAAUAUAGCUCCAAGUAAAGUUACCGAUGGACGAAGACAAAAGAGGGCAUGCCUUCCGGGGCAUCCCCAAGCUUAGACUUUUGGUUGUCCUUGAAUUUUACCUUGGGGGUGCCUUGGGAAUACCAAAUCUUAGGCUCUUGCCACUCCUUGUUCCAUAAUUCAUCAAAUCUUUACCCAAAACUUGAAAACUUCACAACACAAAACUUAACAGAAAAUCUCAUGAGCUCCGUUAGCGAAAGAAAACAAAACACCACUUCAAGGUACUGUAAUGAACUCAUUCUUUAUUUAUAUUGGUGUUAAACCUACUGUAUUCCAACUUAUAUAUGGUUCAUAACCUCCGAUACUAGCCAUAGAUUCAUCAAAAUAAGCAAACAACACACGAAAAACAGAAUCUGUCAAAAACAGAACAGUCUGUAGUAAUAUAUAUCUAACGCAAACUUCUGUAACUCAGAAAAAUCUACCAAAAUAGGACGACCUAUAUAAUUUGUUUAUUUAUCUACUUCAAUUGGAAUCAGUAUUUUAUCACGUUCUGGUGAAUUUUAACAAUUGUUUUCGUGAGAAGAAAGUUUCUGACUUUUUCAGCAAGAUCAAAUAACUAUCAUCCAAGAAGAUCCUAUAGGUUCUACUUGGCACAAACACUAAUUAAAACAUAAAACAACAUCUAACCAGAGGCUAGAUCAAAUAUUUAUUACUAAACAGAACCAAAAAGCAAGAAACAAAAAUAAAAUUGGGUUGCCUCCCAACAAGCGCUAUCGUUUAACGCCCUAGCUAGGUAUAAAGACAAGGAUAGAUCUAGGUAUUAUCAUCUUUGGCAUGCAAUCCAUAAGUAGCUCUCAUAAUAGAUUCAUAAGGUAAUUUAAUUUUCUUUCUAGGAAAGUGUUCCAUGUCUUUCCUUAAGGGAAAUUGGAAUCUAAUAUUCCCUUCUUUCAUGUCAAUAAUUGCACCAAUCGUUCUAAGGAAAUGUCUAACAAGAAUAAUAGGACAUGAAGGAUUGAAAACUAUAUCAAGAACAAUGAAAUCUACGGGCACAUAAUUCCUAUUGUGAACAAUAAUAACAUCAUUAAUUCUUUCCGUAGGUUUCUUAAUGGUGGAAUCCGCAAGAUGCAUGUUUAAAGAACAAUCAUAAAAUUCACGGAAACCUAACAUAUCACACAAAGUUUUCGGAAUCGUGAAAACACUAGCACCCAAAUCACACAAAGCAUAGCAUUCAUGUUCUUUAAUUUUAAUUUUAAUAGUAGGUUCCCACUCAUCAUAAAGUUUUCUAGGGAUAGAAACUUCCAAUUCAAGCUUUUCUUCAUAAGAUUGCAUUAAGGCAUCAAUGAUAUGUGGUAAAAGCCUUAUUUUGACUAUAAGCAUGCGGAGAAUUUAACAUGGAUUGCAACAAGGAAAUACAAUCUAUUAAAGAACAAUUAUCAUAAUUAAAUUCCUUAAAAUCCAAAAUAGUGGGUUCAUUGCUAUGUAAAGUUUUGACCUCUUCAAUCCCACUUUUACCAAUUUUUGCAUCAAGAUCUAAAAACUCCGAAUCAUUGGGACGCCUUUUAACUAAAGUUGACUCAUCUCCAGUCCCAUCAUUAUUAAGAUCCAUAUUGCAAAACAAAGAUUUAAUAGGGGAUACAUCAAUCACUUUUAGAUCUUCAUCCUUAUUAUCAUGAAAACUAGAAGAACACACUUUCACAAAGCAAUCUUUCUUAGCACGCAUCCUAGCGGUUCUUUCUUUGCACUUAUUCCAUGAAUCAAUACUAUUUUUAGGCAAAGACGAAAACCAAGUUUAGCACGAUCUCUAAGCGAAAACGGAAAUAGCUUCAAUUUAACAAUAUCAUUGUCCACAUCUUUCUUCUUUUGCAUAUCGCACAAAUCAACAAAGCUACUUAGAUGGAAGGCCAGAGAAUUGAUCUUUCAUGACAAGAUUCAACAAAGCAGCAUUAAUUUCACAAGAUUCAGCAUCGGUAAUAGGAGCAAUCGGAGUGCUAAGAAAAUAAUUGUUGUUGCUAUUGGAGAAGUCACACAAUUUAGUAUUGUCUUGAGCCAUCGUGACAAACAAUCCAACACACAAGCACACAAGAAACAAGCGAAAAGCGACGAAAGGAAAAAGAGGGCGAAUAAAACAGCAAAGCUGAAGUGGGGGAGAGGAAAAUGAGAGGCAAAUGGCAAAUAAUGUAAUGUGAGGGAUAAGAGUUUGUGAUGGGUACUUGGUAUGUCUUGACUUGUGCGUAGAUCUCCCCGGCAACGGCGCCAGAAUCCUUCUUGCUACCUCUUGAGCAUGUGUUGGUUUUCCCUUGAAGAGGAAAGGGUGAUGCAGCAAAGUAGCGUAAGUAUUUCCCUCGGUUUUUGAGAACCAAGGUAUCAAUCCAGUAGGAGGCCACACAAAAGUCCCUCGUACCUACACAAACAAAUAAGAACCUUGCAACCAACGCGAUAAAGGGGUUGUCAAUCCCUUCACUGCCACUUGCAAAAGUGAGAUCUGAUAGAGAUGAUAAGAUAAUAUUUUUGGUUUUUAUGAUAAAGAUUAAAAGAAAAGAUUGCAAAGUAAAAAUAGAUUGGAAACUUAUAUAUGGAAAAUAGACCCGGGGGCUAUAGGUUUCACUAGUGGCUUCUCUCAAGAUAGCAUAAGUAUUACGGUGGGUGAACAAAUUACUCUCGAGCAAUUGAUAGAAAAGUGCAUAAUUAUAAGAAUAUCUAGGCACGAUCAUGUAUAUAGGCAUCAUGUCCGCAACAAGUUGACCGACUCCUGCCUGUAUCUACUACUAUUACUCCACACAUCGACCGCUAUCCAGCAUGCAGCUAGAGUAUUAAGUUCAUAAAAACAGAGUAACACAUUAGGCAAGAUGACAUGAUGUAGAGGGAUAAACUCAAGCAAUAUGAUAUAAACCCCAUCUUUUUAUCCUCGAUGGCAACAAUACAAUACGUGUCGUUUCCCCUUCUGUAACUAGGAUCGAGCACCGCAUGAUUGAACCCAAAGCUAAGCACUUCUCCCAUUGCAAGAAAGAUCAAUCUAGUAGCCCAAACCAAACUGAUAAUUCGAAGAGACUUGCAAAGAUAACCAAUCAUACAUAAAGAAUUCAGAGAAGAUUCAAAUAUUCUUCAUAGAUAAUCUUGAUCAUAAACCCACAAUUCAUCGGAUCUCGAUAAACACACCACAAAAAGAGUUACAUCGAAUAGAUCUCCAAGAAGAUCGAGGAGAACUUUGUAUUGAGAUCCAAAGAGAGAGAAGAAGCCAUCUAGCUAAUAACUAUGGACCCGAAGGUCUGUGGGAAACUACUCACACAUCAUCGGAGAGGCUAUGGUGUUGAUGUAGAAGCUCUCCGUGAUCGAUGCCCCCUCCGGCGGAGCGCCGGAAAAGGCCCCAAGAUGGGAUCUCACGGGUACAGAAGGUUGCGGCGGUGGAAAUAGGGUUUCGUCGUGCUCCUGGAUGUUUUCGGGGCACGUAGGUAUAUAUAGGAGGAAGAAGUAGGUCGGUGGAGCCACGAGGGGCCCACGAGGGUGGGGUGCGCCCAGGGGGGCAGGCGUGCCUCCCUGCCUCGUGGCCUCCUCGUUCGUUUCUUGACGUCCACUCCAAGUCCUCUGGAUCACGUUUGUUUCAAAAAUAACUCUCCCGGAGGUUUCAUUCCGUUUGGACUACGUUUGAUAUUCCUUUUCUGCUAAACACUGAAAUAGGCAAAAAAACAGCAAUCUGCACUGGACCUUGGGUUAGUAGGUUAGUCCGAAAAAUAAUAUAAAAGUGUAAAAUAAAGCCCAUUAAACAUCUAAAACAGAAUAUAUAAUAGCAUGGAACAAUUAAAAAUUAUAGAUACGUUGGAGACGUAUCACAUAGUUAUGAGAAUAUCUAGGCAUGAUCAUGUAUAUAUGCAUCACGUCCGUGACAAGUAGACCGAAACGAUUAUGCAUUUACUACUAUUACUCCACACAUUGACCGCUAUCCAGCAUGCAUCUAGAGUAUUAAGUUCAUAAGGACAGAGUAACGCAUUAGGCAAGAUGACAUGAUGUAGAGGGAUAAACUCAAGCAAUAUGAUAUAAACCCCAUCCUUUUAUCCUCGGUGGCAACAAUACAAUACGUGCCUUGCUGCCCCUGCUGUCACUGGGAAAGGACACCGCAAGAUUGAACCCAAAGCUAAGCACUUCUCCCGUUGCAAAAAAGAUCAAUCUAGUAGGCCAAACUAAACUGAUAAUUCGAAGAGACUUGCAAAGAUAUCAAAUCAUGCAUAUAAGAAUUCAGAGAAGAAUCAAAUAUUGUUCAUAGAUAAUCUUGAUCAUAAACCCACAAUUCAUCGGAUCUCGACAAACACACUGCAAAAAGAGUUACAUCGAAUAGAUCUCCAAGAGAAUCAAGGAGAACUUUGUAUUGAGAUCCAAAGAGAGAGAAGAAGCCAUCUAGCUAAUAACUAUGGACCCGAAGGUCUGUGGUAAAUUACUCACACAUCAUCGGAGAGGCCAUGGUGUUGAUGUAGAGGCCCUCCGUGAUCGAUUCCCCCUUCGGCGGAGCGCCGGAGAAGGCCCCAAGAUGGGAUCUCACGGGUACAGAAGGUUGCGGCGGUGGAAAAAAGUGUUUCGUGGCUCCCCUGGAUGUUUUCAGGGUAUAAGAGUAUAUAUAGGCAAAGGAAGUANNNNNNNNNNNNNNNNNNNNNNNNNNNNNNNNNNNNNNNNNNNNNNNNNNNNNNNNNNNNNNNNNNNNNNNNNNNNNNNNNNNNNNNNNNNNNNNNNNNNNNNNNNNNNNNNNNNNNNNNNNNNNNNNNNNNNNNNNNNNNNNNNNNNNNNNNNNNNNNNNNNNNNNNNNNNNNNNNNNNNNNNNNNNNNNNNNNNNNNNNNNNNNNNNNNNNNNNNNNNNNNNNNNNNNNNNNNNNNNNNNNNNNNNNNNNNNNNNNNNNNNNNNNNNNNNNNNNNNNNNNNNNNNNNNNNNNNNNNNNNNNNNNNNNNNNACACUGAAAUAGGAAAAAAAAAACUGCAAUUUGCACUGGGCUUUCGGUUAAUAGGUUAGUCUCAAAAAUAAUAUAAAAAGGUAUAUUAAAGCCCAUUAAACAUUCAAAAAAGAUAAUAUAAUAGCAUGAAACAAUCAAAAAUUAUUGAUACGUUGGAGACGUAUCAAGGUGCAUGUCCACACUGAAAUUUGAGGGGAGGGAGGGGGUGGGGUUGAUUAGUGAGAAGGAACUUUCAUAGGGUACGUAAGAGAGCUUCGUAGGUGUGCCAUUUUUUUGUUAGGUACUCCCUCCUGUAAGAGCGUCUAGAUCACUAAAAUAGUGAUCUAGACGCUCUUCUAUUUAUUUACAGAGGGAGUAGAAGGCAAGAAAGGCGUCACAAGUUGUGAUGAUUGCGUGGUUAUUCGCCAAGGUCUCUAUCUAUCACGGUUUUUCCGGCAAACUCAAUAAAUUACUGUUGUUUGGCUGUUUUUGUAUUUAUAUGCACUUUAGACUGUACAUUCUUUUUUAAAAUAUUUUUUUGGCGAUCUGAAAAGAGUUUCAUUCCAACAUUAGAGUUACAAUCGAGAGGCAAAAGAUCCUCUAUACAUGGUGGUGUGCUACGUAGCCAUACAACAGUACUACUUUCUACUCGACUAUACGACGCCAACCGAUUUGCCGUCCUAUUUUGUUCACGCUUGAUUUUCAUGUAAUAAACUCUCUCCCUUACAUAAAAAAACUUUAUCUCUACCACCAAAUGACCAUAUGCCGAUCUCCAGAGGCCUUCCACCGACAAAGCUAACAAGCAAUCAUGAAAUGGAUCACUUGGUAGUAUUUGGCUGUUCCUGAUAAAUUCGUUCACUGUAGAUUGUACGGUGGUUGUUGACUUGUUGUCAUGCUGUGCGGUUUCAAAUGCCAAUCAUGCUAUACUGUGCGGCUGUGCCAGGAACAGAAAUAUCACGUAGCCUAUCCCCAAGCCACACGCUCAGGAAAAGAAAUCUAGCACGAUCAAGCAGCACCAGGGGGGGAGGAUGUUCCGAGCAGUGAAGCAUGUCGUCGUCGGGGCGACGGCGAAGAACAGCCGAGCAGAGCCAGCCUUGUCGGCCUUCGCGAGCCACUUCUCCGCGGCCUCCACCGCGCAGAGGUUCGCGUGCCCUCCCGUCAAACUCGACUCGAUCUUGCCUUGUGCUUGUUUUGCCGAGCUCAUGAAUCACAGAGGAACGAUCCGAUGUUUCUAGGUUGGUCAGGAAGGUGGCCAUGAUCACCGGCGGCGCCAGCGGGAUCGGCAAGGCGACGGCCGCGGAGUUCGUCAGGAACGGCGCCAAGGUCGUCCUCGCCGACGUCCAGGACGACCUGGGCCGCGCCGUGGUAGCCGAGCUCGGCGCGGACGCGGCGCGCUACACGCGCUGCGACGUGGCCGACGAGGCGCAGGUUGCCGCGGCCGUGGACCUGGCCGUCGCGCGGCACGGCCGCCUCGACGUCAUGUUCAACAACGCCGGCAUCAGCGGCGCCCUGACGCCCGUCCCUCUCGCCUCCCUGGACAUCGCGGACUUCGACCGCGUCAUGGCGGUCAACGCGCGGGCCAUGCUCGCCGGCGUGAAGCACGCGGCCCGCGUCAUGACGCCGCGCCGCAGAGGCAGCAUCAUCUGCACGGCCAGCACCGCGGGAGUGCUGGGCAGCGUGGCGCCGCACCCGUACAGCGUGUCCAAGGCCGCGGUGCUGGGGCUGGUGCGCGCCGUGGCAGGGGAGAUGGCGCGCUCCGGGGUGCGCGUGAACGCCAUCUCGCCCAGCUACAUCCCGACGCCGCUGGUGAUGCGCACCAUGGAGGAGUGGUACCCGAAGGCGACUUCCGAGGAGCGUCGGCGGAUCGUGGAGCAGGACGUCAACGAGAUGGAAGGGACGGUGCUGGAGGCGGAGGACGUGGCCAGGGCGGCGCUGUACCUGGCGUCCGACGAGGCCAAGUACGUGAACGGGCACAACCUCGUCGUCGACGGCGGGUACACGGUCGGAAAGCCGCCCAACAU